This 28-nucleotide small RNA is filed under the name Bombyx mori (domestic silkworm). RNAcentral's name for it is "ovarian small RNA-1250". The record is from RNAcentral. Lineage: Eukaryota; Metazoa; Arthropoda; Insecta; Lepidoptera; Bombycidae.
UUGUUGAUGAUGGUAGCGCAACGCAUGU